Molecule: microRNA precursor, 70 nt
Organism: Erinaceus europaeus (western European hedgehog)
Lineage: Eukaryota; Metazoa; Chordata; Mammalia; Eulipotyphla; Erinaceidae
Source: Ensembl
GUUGUUGUAAACAUCCCCGACUGGAAGCUGUAAGAUAGAGCUAAGCUUUCAGUCAGAUGUUUGCGGCUAC